This 447-nucleotide ribosomal RNA is filed under the name uncultured bacterium. RNAcentral describes it as "partial 16S ribosomal RNA". It matches the Rfam family "Bacterial small subunit ribosomal RNA", at positions 29 to 523 of the family's 1533-position model. The record is from RNAcentral.
AGCGAACGCUGGCGGCAGGCUUAACACAUGCAAGUCGAGCGCCCCGCAUGGGGAGCGGCAGACGGGUGAGUAACACGUGGGAAUCUACCCAUCCCUACGGAACAACUCCGGGAAACUGGAGCUAAUACCGUAUACGCCCUUCGGGGGAAAGAUUUAUCGGGGAUGGAUGAGCCCGCGUUGGAUUAGCUAGUUGGUGGGGUAAAUGCCUACCAAGGCGACGAUCCAUAGCUGGUCUGAGAGGAUGAUCAGCCACAUUGGGACUGAGACACAGCCCAAACUCCUACGGGAGGCAGCAGUGGGGAAGAUUGGGCGAUGGGGGCAGGGCUGAUCCAGCCAUGCCGCGUGAAUGAUGAAGGCCUUAGGGUUGUAAAGUUCUUUCACCGAUGAAGAUAAUGACGGUAGUCGGAGAAGAAGCCCCGGCUAACUUCGUGCCAGCCGCCGCAGUAA